AUUGAACGCUGGCGGCAUGCCUAACACAUGCAAGUCGAACGGUAACGCAGAGAGCUUGCUCUUUGGCGACGAGUGGCGGACGGGUGAGUAAUGCUUAGGAAUCUGCCCAGUAGUGGGGGACAACUCGGGGAAACUCGAGCUAAUACCGCAUACGCCCUACGGGGGAAAGCGGGGGAUCUUCGGACCUCGCGCUAUUGGAUGAGCCUAAGUCGGAUUAGCUUGUUGGUGAGGUAACGGCUCACCAAGGCGACGAUCCGUAGCUGGUCUGAGAGGACGAUCAGCCACACUGGGACUGAGACACGGCCCAGACUCCUACGGGAGGCAGCAGUGGGGAAUAUUGGACAAUGGGGGCAACCCUGAUCCAGCAAUGCCGCGUGUGUGAAGAAGGCCUGCGGGUUGUAAAGCACUUUCAGUAGAGAAGAAAAGCUUACGGUUAAUACCCGUGAGUCUUGACGUAACCUACAGAAGAAGCACCGGCUAACUCCGUG
RNAcentral lists this ribosomal RNA (488 nucleotides) under uncultured bacterium. Its description in RNAcentral is "bacterial SSU rRNA". It matches the Rfam family "Bacterial small subunit ribosomal RNA", at positions 30 to 507 of the family's 1533-position model. The record is from RNAcentral.